AGGGGUUUGUGGUUGUCCGCGUAGCAUGCUUCUGCUGGGCCCGUGGAGGUGUUGCCUAGCCGUGUGUCUCUGCGGUGUUCCUCUGUUCUUUCUGCUGGGGUGUGUGUUGUGUGGCCGACGUGUGCAGGGGUUUGUCCGGUGUCAUCGUGAACCGCCGGGAUGGAGUAUACGCCAGAUUUUUGGUUAUCCAUUGGCUUAUCUUUGGAGUUUCGAGGGGCGGCGGGCGUGGGGGGAUUUCGUGUUGUCGCUGUUUUCUUUUUCUGUCGUCUGGCUGUUUCCUUGAUUACGGGGUGGUUCCGCAUGCUAU
This 307-nucleotide long non-coding RNA is filed under the name Androctonus crassicauda. Lineage: Eukaryota; Metazoa; Arthropoda; Arachnida; Scorpiones; Buthidae. The record is from RNAcentral.